RNAcentral lists this ribosomal RNA (252 nucleotides) under uncultured bacterium. Its description in RNAcentral is "partial 16S ribosomal RNA". It matches the Rfam family "Bacterial small subunit ribosomal RNA", at positions 524 to 776 of the family's 1533-position model. The record is from RNAcentral.
UACAGAGGGGGCAAGCGUUGUUCGGAAUUACUGGGCGUAAAGGGCGCGUAGGCGGCCGCCUAAGUCAGACGUGAAAUCCUCGGCUCAACCGGGGAACUGCGUCUGAUACUGGAUGGCUUGAAUCCGGGAGAGGGAUGCAGAAUUCCAGGUGUAGCGGUGAAAUGCGUAGAUAUCUGGAGGAAUACCGGUGGCGAAGGCGGCAUCCUGGACCGGCAUUGACGCUGAGGAGCGAAAGCGUGGGGAGCGAACAGG